RNAcentral lists this long non-coding RNA (292 nucleotides) under Musa acuminata (dwarf banana). RNAcentral's name for it is "long non-coding RNA (MACU_LNC009252)". Lineage: Eukaryota; Viridiplantae; Streptophyta; Magnoliopsida; Zingiberales; Musaceae. The record is from RNAcentral.
GCCUCAACAAUCAGACUACUUGACUCAAGGUAUAAAGUUUAAAAAUUUGAUAGCUGUGGAUGAAGUGGAUAAAUAUAGAAAUAAAGCCUUAAAAGGUAAAGAUAUUGUGCGGGAGGAAAAUGCAAAACCUAAGGAUAAGAAAAAGGAUGGUACUAUCCAUUCAAAGUCGUAGAAUGAAUACCUUAUUUUCUUUUUCUGAUGAAGAUAAUUUGCUGGAAUGUUCGUGGACUUAAUAAGCCUGAAAAAUGUCAGGAGCUCAACAGAAUAAUCAAGUCUGCUGCAUGUGAUAUUG